Lethenteron reissneri (Far Eastern brook lamprey) is the source of this 1125-nucleotide long non-coding RNA. RefSeq lists it as uncharacterized. The record is from RefSeq and is a predicted model, not a curated record. Lineage: Eukaryota; Metazoa; Chordata; Hyperoartia; Petromyzontiformes; Petromyzontidae.
GCUGUGUAGGUGUGUGUGCUGUGUAGGUGUGUGUGUUGUGUAGGUGUGUGUGCUUUGUAGGUGUGUGUGUUGUGCAGGUGUGUGUGCUUUGUAGGUGUGUGUGUUGUGUAGGUGUGUGUGCUGUGUAGGUGUGUGUGUUGUGUAGGUGUGUGUGCUUUGUAGGUGUGUGUGUUGUGUAGGUGUGUGUGCUUUGUAGGUGUGUGUGUUGUGUAGGUGUGUGUGCUGUGUAGGUGUGUGUGUUGUGUAGGUGUGUGUGCUGUGUAGGUGUGUGUGUUGUGUAGGUGUGUGUGCUUUGUAGGUGUGUGUGUUGUGUAGGUGUGUGUGCUGUGUAGGUGUGUGUGUUGUGUAGGUGUGUGUGCUGUGUAGGUGUGUGUGUUGUGUAGGUGUGUGUGCUUUGUAGGUGUGUGUGUUGUGUAGGUGUGUGUGUUGUGUAGGUGUGUGUGCUUUGUAGGUGUGUGUGUUGUGUAGGUGUGUGUGCUGUGUAGGUGUGUGUGUUGUGUAGGUGUGUGUGCUUUGUAGGUGUGUGUGUUGUGUAGGUGUGUGUGUUGUGUAGGUGUGUGUGCUGUGUAGGUGUGUGUGCUGUGUAGGUGUGUGUGCUGUGUAGGUGUGUGUGUUGUGUAGGUGUGUGUGCUGUGUAGGUGUGUGUGUUGUGUAGGUGUGUGUGCUGUGUAGGUGUGUGUGCUGUGUAGGUGUGUGUGUUGUGUAGGUGUGUGUGCUGUGUAGGUGUGUGUGUUGUGUAGGUGUGUGUGCUGUGUAGGUGUGUGUGUUGUGUAGGUGUGUGUGCUGUGUAGGUGUGUGUGCUGUGUAGGUGUGUGUGCUGUGUAGGUGUGUGUGCUGUGUAGGUGUGUGUGUUGUGUAGGUGUGUGUGCUGUGUAGGUGUGUGUGCUGUGUAGGUGUGUGUGCUGUGUAGGUGUGUGUGCUGUGUAGGUGUGUGUGUUGUGUAGGUGUGUGUGCUGUGUAGGUGUGUGUGUUGUGUAGGUGUGUGUGCUGUGUAGGUGUGUGUGUUGUGUAGGUGUGUGUGCUGUGUAGGUGUGUGUGCUGUGUAGGUGUGUGUGCUGUGUAGGUGUGUGUGCUGUGUAGGUGUGUGUGCUGUGUAGGUGUGUGUGUCUGUGUAGGUGUGUGUGC